RNAcentral lists this long non-coding RNA (1513 nucleotides) under Ananas comosus (pineapple). Its description in RNAcentral is "long non-coding RNA (ACOM_LNC026107)". Lineage: Eukaryota; Viridiplantae; Streptophyta; Magnoliopsida; Poales; Bromeliaceae. The record is from RNAcentral.
UGAAGAUCGAAAUCGAUGGAUUUAUUGUGGAGGACUUAAGAAAGAAAAAGGAUUGACGGCUAGGGUUUUCUUUUUCCUUUUUACUUAAUUUUCCAUUAAUUUUAAUAUGUCAUAUGACAUAUAUUUAUAAUGAGAAAACCUAACGUAAUCCUAAUCGAAAUCCUAUUCCGAUUAGAUUAUCCAUUAACCCACAAGUUGGUUAUGAUAUUAACCGAAUUCCGAAUCCUAAUUCUAAUUCGAUUCAUGUGUAACAUUUACACAUAAGUCCUCAUAUUAUUUACUAAUGAUUAGUAAAUACACCAUGCAACUUUUACACAUAAAUACCUCUAAUUUACAACAAUUGCAAAUUAGUCCUUUUACUAAUAAAUUAGUAAACUUUAGUAUUUAACUAUAUUGUAAUUAUAAUUAAUCCAUCCGAUAAACUUCUUUUAUCGUCUCCUAAAUAUCGAUCAUGCGCGAUUUCUUAUGUGUGUGACCUAAUAGGUUCAAUUCUGUCUGGUAGUGAGAUAUGAUGAGAUCUCCAUCUCCAUCAUCAUCGAAACUCUUUUCGAUGGCUCAAACUCUUUUGAUUCCACCCUAAUAGAAUAAUUAAUAAUUAUUUCUAUUGGUUCCCACAAUCCACCAGUGACGCCUAGCAGCAUGUAGUGGCAAUCCAGUCAGAAGUGAAUAUCGGACUGAACCUCUAGGUGCAGUUACCGUACAAUACAAUCCUUCUAUCGCAUAGUUCCAACUGAGUGGAGGUCAUGGAAUAUUCGUCAAACCCCAUCACCCGUCAUAUGACAAAUUUGAUCAGACAGAAGCUCUUAUGGUUACUCUUGGAAACAUCUUUCCAUACACCAUAUUACCCCGGCCGAGGAUUUCUGAGCUUUGCCGUACAAAUAGCAUAGAACUAAUUAUCUCUCUACCGAGAGCGAUAGAUCCCCUAUAAACACACACCCAUUCCUGAUAUGAACCGACUGCAGCCAACAUAUACUACUAAGACCCAUGGCUAGGAUCAGAGUUUGUUGCAUAGUCAAACUACAGUAGCCUCAUAUUGAAUGACCGUGGUGUCGCAGGUCUAAGGAUCAGUUGUACCACUGCAACAUCGAACCAGUUACUGACGAAUGAGUAGACAUCCAUAUAACUGUUCGUAGUUGGUCAUGCUCAGUACCGUUGUUCUCUAACAACCACCUGCAUGUUCGCUCCAGUGUCCCUACACUGAUGACUCGAGAUUCGUCAUCCCAAAAGGGAAGCGGCACACACAUCAAUCUUACCGGAUCAAUCAUCGUCCCAAUGAUGAUCCUCCGAUUGAGAGCAUUUAUGAAUUAAUCACCAAUAAUAUGUAUCUCAAAUUCUCAACUCUUGAGAAUACAUAUUAUCAUCUUAUUAAUUCAAAGGACGAUUCAUGGACACAUUUAACAUGAAUGGAAUAAAAAGCCCAAUUAUAUAAAUAAUAAAGAUUAAGUACAAAUAUAUGUCCCAUAGAAAAUAAAAUGCGUCAGCCUGAUAGGCUUCUAGGGCAUACAACUAACAG